GAUGAACGCUAGCGAUAGGCCUAACACAUGCAAGUCGAGGGGCAGCAUAGAGUAGCAAUACUUUGAUGGCGACCGGCGCACGGGUGAGUAACACGUAUGCAACCUACCUACAUCAGGGGAAUAACCCGGGGAAAUUCGGACUAAUACCGCAUAAUACAGGGAUGCCGCAUGGCAAUAUUUGUCAAAGAUUUAUCGGAUGUAGAUGGGCAUGCGUUCCAUUAGCUUGUUGGUGAGGUAACGGCUCACCAAGGCAACGAUGGAUAGGGGAACUGAGAGGUUGGUCCCCCACACUGGAACUGAGACACGGACCAGACUCCUACGGGAGGCAGCAGUGAGGAAUAUUGGUCAAUGGACGAGAGUCUGAACCAGCCAAAUCGCGUGAAGGAAGACUGCCCUACGGGUUGUAAACUUCUUUUGUACAGGAAUAAAAGACAUUACGUGUAAUGUAUUGCAUGUACUGUACGAAUAAGCAUCGGCUAACUCCGUGCCAGCAGCCGCGGUAA
This 503-nucleotide ribosomal RNA is filed under the name uncultured bacterium. RNAcentral's name for it is "partial 16S ribosomal RNA". It matches the Rfam family "Bacterial small subunit ribosomal RNA", at positions 28 to 523 of the family's 1533-position model. The record is from RNAcentral.